CAGCCUUGCAGGUCUGGCCAUAAAGCUCAGGGGUGAUUGAGUUCGCACUGAGAAACAACUCUGAGGGUUAACUCUCAGUUUCUUAGUAGUUGGAGAAAGAAGUGUGUCACUGCCGAAGGCUCUGGGAAUGUGUCUGAAGCUGUGCUUAAAGAGGCUGUGUGAAAGGAGAGAUAUAAGAAGAUCAAAGUGAGCCUUCAAGAGUCAGAAUCUGCCCAGAACUGGACAACUUCUGAUAGCAGUGGAGGGAGCAGCUAGAGGUGGCGUUUGUGUACUAUGGUCAAAGAAUGCUGCCCUCAUUUGUUAAGGAAAAAAAGAAAAAGAAAAAACUACCAGAGAGUAAAACAACUCAUAAAACUGUCAUGAAUAAUUCCAGCAGCUGGGCUGAAAUGGAAGGCUGCUCAAAGUACCUCUGGUUCUCCGUGACAAAGGCACCAGGAUCUUCAUGAGCUAUGGAAGGCCGCAAGAUCUGGCCGAGACGGUCCGACAGGAAUGAGAGUUCUCAGACCUGCACAGAACCUGUGACCAACUUACUCUCAGCCAACAGUUGCAUUGUGGGAACUCUUUGAAAUUGAGGGGAAAAUCCCCUAAUUAAAAGGUUCCUAAUCUCAGUUUCUGCUUAGGAAUUCCUUCUGGCACAUAUUAAACACACAGAUUUCUGGACUUCAACUUCAGAGAUCCUAAUGCCAGGAUCAUCAGUGGAGCCCAAGAGUCUACAUUUAAGAAGCUGUCUAGAAUGGACAAUUAGUCAGCUAUAUAAAUAAAAGAAAAUACUAGUGUAAGAAACAACAUGGAUGACAUCUCAACAACAAUAUUCUGAGCAAAAUAAGCCAAACACAAAAUAGUGCACAUGGUAUGAUUAUAUAUAUGAAUGCGUAUCUAUAUAUAUCUACAUAUAUAUAUAUAUAUAUGAGGUUCUAGAAUGAACACUUCAUCUAUAGUGAUAGAAAUCAGGUUGAUGGUUGCAUAGGGCAGGGGGUUAGGUGGACUGACUGCAAAGCGUCAUGAGGGAACUUUCCAGUACGAUGGUAAUGAUCUAUGUUUUUAUUGGAGUGGUGGUUACAUGGGUGUAUACAUUUGUCAAAGUUCAUCUGACUGUACACUUCACGUUGCAUACACUUAACUGUGUAUAAAUUGUG
This 1136-nucleotide long non-coding RNA is filed under the name Equus caballus (horse). Its description in RNAcentral is "lncRNA (ENSECAG00000038923.3)". Lineage: Eukaryota; Metazoa; Chordata; Mammalia; Perissodactyla; Equidae. The record is from RNAcentral.